RNAcentral lists this ribosomal RNA (460 nucleotides) under uncultured bacterium. RNAcentral describes it as "partial 16S ribosomal RNA". It matches the Rfam family "Bacterial small subunit ribosomal RNA", at positions 338 to 795 of the family's 1533-position model. The record is from RNAcentral.
CCUACGGGGUGCAGCAGUGAGGAAUAUUGGUCAAUGGACGCAAGUCUGAACCAGCCAUGCCGCGUGCAGGAAGACGGCUCUAUGAGUUGUAAACUGCUUUUGUACGAGGGUAAACGCAGAUACGCGUAUCUGUCUGAAAGUAUCGUACGAAAAAGGAUCGGCUAACUCCGUGCCAGCAGCCGUGGUAAUACGGAGGAUUCAAGCGUUAUCCGGAUUUAGUGGGUUUAAAGGGUGCGUAGGCGGUUGUGUAAGUUAGAGGUGAAAUCCCGCGGCUCAACUUCGGAAUUGCCUCGGAUACUGUGCGGAUAGAGAGUAGUUGCGGUAGGCGGAAUGUAUGGUGUAGCGGUGAAAUGCUUAGAGAUCAUACAGAACACCGAUUGCGAAGGCAGCUUACCAAGCUACUUCUGACGUUGAGGCACGAAAGCGUGGGGAGCAAACAGGAUUAGAUACCCUAGUAGUC